UACGUAGGGUACAAGCAUUAAUCGGAAUUAUUGGGCGUAAAGGGCGCGUAGGCGGGGAUGUAAGUCAGGUGUGAAAUACCAAAGCUCAACUUUGGUGCUGCAUUUGAAACUGCAUUUCUUGAGGACUGGCGGAGAAAGCGGAAUUCCAUGAGUAGCGGUGAAAUGCGUAGAUACAUGGAGGAACACCGGUGGCGAAAGCGGCUUUCUAGUUUUUACCUGACGCUGAGGCGCGAGAGCAAGGGGAGCAAACAGG
RNAcentral lists this ribosomal RNA (253 nucleotides) under uncultured bacterium. RNAcentral describes it as "partial 16S ribosomal RNA". It matches the Rfam family "Bacterial small subunit ribosomal RNA", at positions 524 to 776 of the family's 1533-position model. The record is from RNAcentral.